Molecule: transfer RNA, 72 nt
Filed under: Arapaima gigas (arapaima)
Lineage: Eukaryota; Metazoa; Chordata; Actinopteri; Osteoglossiformes; Osteoglossidae
Description: tRNA-Asp
Rfam family: tRNA
About the family: Transfer RNA (tRNA) molecules are approximately 80 nucleotides in length. Their secondary structure includes four short double-helical elements and three loops (D, anti-codon, and T loops).
Source: RNAcentral
GAGGUGCUAGUAAAUUCAAAAUUACACCACCUUGUCAAGGUGGAAUAGCAGGUUAAACCCCUGCGCACUUUA